CGGAGCUUGCUCCACCGGAAAAAGAAGAGUGGCGAACGGGUGAGUAACACGUGGGUAACCUGCCCAUCAGAAGGGGAUAACACUUGGAAACAGGUGCUAAUACCGUAUAACAAUCGAAACCGCAUGGUUUUGAUUUGAAAGGCGCUUUCGGGUGUCGCUGAUGGAUGGACCCGCGGUGCAUUAGCUAGUUGGUGAGGUAACGGCUCACCAAGGCCACGAUGCAUAGCCGACCUGAGAGGGUGAUCGGCCACAUUGGGACUGAGACACGGCCCAAACUCCUACGGGAGGCAGCAGUAGGGAAUCUUCGGCAAUGGACGAAAGUCUGACCGAGCAACGCCGCGUGAGUGAAGAAGGUUUUCGGAUCGUAAAACUCUGUUGUUAGAGAAGAACAAGGAUGAGAGUAACUGUUCAUCCCUUGACGGUAUCUAACCAGAAAGCCACGGCUAACUACGUGCCAGCAGCCGCGGUAAUACGUAGGUGGCAAGCGUUGUCCGGAUUUAUUGGGCGUAAAGCGAGCGCAGGCGGUUUCUUAAGUCUGAUGUGAAAGCCCCCGGCUCAACCGGGGAGGGUCAUUGGAAACUGGGAGACUUGAGUGCAGAAGAGGAGAGUGGAAUUCCAUGUGUAGCGGUGAAAUGCGUAGAUAUAUGGAGGAACACCAGUGGCGAAGGCGGCUCUCUGGUCUGUAACUGACGCUGAGGCUCGAAAGCGUGGGGAGCAAACAGGAUUAGAUACCCUGGUAGUCCACGCCGUAAACGAUGAGUGCUAAGUGUUGGAGGGUUUCCGCCCUUCAGUGCUGCAGCUAACGCAUUAAGCACUCCGCCUGGGGAGUACGACCGCAAGGUUGAAACUCAAAGGAAUUGACGGGGGCCCGCACAAGCGGUGGAGCAUGUGGUUUAAUUCGAAGCAACGCGAAGAACCUUACCAGGUCUUGACAUCCUUUGACCACUCUAGAGAUAGAGCUUCCCCUUCGGGGGCAAAGUGACAGGUGGUGCAUGGUUGUCGUCAGCUCGUGUCGUGAGAUGUUGGGUUAAGUCCCGCAACGAGCGCAACCCUUAUUGUUAGUUGCCAUCAUUCAGUUGGGCACUCUAGCAAGACUGCCGGUGACAAACCGGAGGAAGGUGGGGAUGACGUCAAAUCAUCAUGCCCCUUAUGACCUGGGCUACACACGUGCUACAAUGGGAAGUACAACGAGUUGCAAAGUCGCGAGGCUAAGCUAAUCUCUUAAAGCUUCUCUCAGUUCGGAUUGCAGGCUGCAACUCGCCUGCAUGAAG
RNAcentral lists this ribosomal RNA (1271 nucleotides) under Enterococcus faecium. Its description in RNAcentral is "bacterial SSU rRNA". It matches the Rfam family "Bacterial small subunit ribosomal RNA", at positions 74 to 1325 of the family's 1533-position model. The record is from RNAcentral. Lineage: Bacteria; Bacillati; Bacillota; Bacilli; Lactobacillales; Enterococcaceae.